UACGAAGGGGGCUAGCGUUGCUCGGAAUCACUGGGCGUAAAGCGCACGUAGGCGGCUUUGUAAGUUAGAGGUGAAAGCCCGGGGCUCAACUCCGGAAUUGCCUUUAAGACUGCAUCGCUUGAACAUCGGAGAGGUGAGUGGAAUUCCGAGUGUAGAGGUGAAAUUCGUAGAUAUUAGGAAGAACACCAGUGGCGAAGGCGGCUCACUGGCCCGGUACUGACGCUGAGGCGCGAAAGCGUGGGGAGCAAACAGG
This 253-nucleotide ribosomal RNA is filed under the name uncultured bacterium. RNAcentral's name for it is "partial 16S ribosomal RNA". It matches the Rfam family "Bacterial small subunit ribosomal RNA", at positions 524 to 776 of the family's 1533-position model. The record is from RNAcentral.